Molecule: transfer RNA, 68 nt
Rfam family: tRNA
About the family: Transfer RNA (tRNA) molecules are approximately 80 nucleotides in length. Their secondary structure includes four short double-helical elements and three loops (D, anti-codon, and T loops). Further hydrogen bonds mediate the characteristic L-shaped molecular structure. tRNAs have two regions of fundamental functional importance: the anti-codon, which is responsible for specific mRNA codon recognition, and the 3' end, to which the tRNAs corresponding amino acid is attached (by aminoacyl-tRNA synthetases). tRNAs cope with the degeneracy of the genetic code in two manners: having more than one tRNA (with a specific anti-codon) for a particular amino acid; and 'wobble' base-pairing, i.e. permitting non-standard base-pairing at the 3rd anti-codon position.
AUUUUCUUAGUAUAGUAGUACAAAUGACUUCCAAUCAUAAAGCUUUGGUUAAAGGCCAGAAGAGAAUA